Molecule: long non-coding RNA, 1375 nt
Filed under: Mus spicilegus (steppe mouse)
Lineage: Eukaryota; Metazoa; Chordata; Mammalia; Rodentia; Muridae
Description: lncRNA (ENSMSIG00000004659.1)
Source: RNAcentral
GAUGAGCAACAAUGUUGUUAAAAGCAGCCAAUGGUGACUGUGGCCUUUUAACUUCUCAGCUGAGAAAGAAAAGACAGCGGGUGCCUUUAUACUGCAAAACAAAAGCUUCUUGAUGAAGAUUUUGUGCAAUGCAUUGUGACCAUACUUAAGGUGCAUCCAGUUAGACAUGCUCAGUUCUCAGUGACCCACAAAGAGGGACAUGACUGUAAAAUGAAACAACUCAAAAUACCUUGGAUGGAUGGAGCUCGGGGAAGAAGAGCUCAGACACAGACAGCAGGGAAGGUCACUUAUGCCAAGAUGAAGUGUAAAUAUUUUAUCCAGGGGACGGCAGGGACAGGAUGGGCACAGGCGAGAAUGGUGUGUAUCCACGGCUCCACACAUACCUACUUCUAUCCACGCCUGCAUGUUGGCAUAAAUGUUAUCAGAUUUCUUAAGAGUCUAAUUUUAAAGCCGCUACUGACACCUUUCUGUGGGGCAGGAUAAAAAAGAGUGGGCAUCGAGCCUGCAUUUUGAGAAGAAGCCUCUUUGCACCCCACAUUUAAGAUCCCUCUUGGCUGUGAAAGAAAACCAAAGAUACAAAACCACACAGAAGCAGAGCUUAAUGGAUGAUGGUUCUGCUUGUAAUAUCACGCCCAAUUCAUGGGAAAGGAAGAGGAGAUGUGGAGCGGUUGGUCGCACAGCUGGUCAGCGAGAGCAGGAUGGCAAGGCAACGCCGAAUGCCUGAAACGGUUUCCCCAUCGACGCAAUUCAGGAAAAGUCACCACAGGAGAGUCCAGUCCUUUCUUUGCUCAGGCUGAGUGGGUUAGUGUAUGCGGUGUCUCAUCCUUCUGGCGUCUGCUCCUUGGCUCAGAGAAUGGAAGCCUAGAGAAUUUGGUCAGCCUACAAAUUCGGCAGUCAAUUCCUGGCCCUCUGUUGCCCUCUAGUGGACUUUUGUCUUAUAGUUUCGUGUACACGAUGCGUUUCAACCCACUGUGCUGCUGGAAGCCACUAUUGUUUCUAAUAGUUCAAAGGAUGUAGCUAGCAAUUAGAUUUAAUCUCUGACUCAUUUCAGCCUGCUUCACAAUAUUAAGGCAUGUUUUUGAAAAAAUCCCUCAUUGUUUAAUGGAAAGACGCGAGGCAAAUCAGCGAUUACUGUUUCAGAGGACCCCGGGGGAAAGUCAACUCUCACUUCCACCAGUCUACUUAGUGUUAAGAAGCCAGCAAAUAAGCCAUUCAGCAAACAUCAUCUGAGCACGGCCGUGUGUCACGCACUGUCCAAGUAGUGGUGUCUGGGUGGAAGGAAAUGUCCAAUUUUUACACUGUGUGUCAAUAGGCGACGACACUGUUUUUGUCGUUAAAGAAUAAAGACAACCCCACGUCUAUGGCUUAUGGGAAG